GAUGAACGCUGGCGGCGUGCCUAAUACAUGCAAGUCGAGCGAACGGACGAGAAGCUUGCUUCUCUGAUGUUAGCGGCGGACGGGUGAGUAACACGUGGAUAACCUACCUAUAAGACUGGGAUAACUUCGGGAAACCGGAGCUAAUACCGGAUAAUAUUUUGAACCGCAUGGUUCAAAAGUGAAAGACGGUCUUGCUGUCACUUAUAGAUGGAACCGCGCUGCAUUAGCUAGUUGGUAAGGUAACGGCUUACCAAGGCAACGAUGCAUAGCCGACCUGAGAGGGUGAUCGGCCACACUGGAACUGAGACACGGUCCAGACUCCUACGGGAGGCAGCAGUAGGGAAUCUUCCACAAUGGGCGAAAGCCUGACGGAGCAACGCCGCGUGAGUGAUGAAGGUCUUCGGAUCGUAAAACUCUGUUAUUAGGGAAGAACAUAUGUGUAAGUAACUGUGCACAUCUUGACGGUACCUAAUCAGAAAGCCACGGCUAACUACGUG
RNAcentral lists this ribosomal RNA (497 nucleotides) under uncultured bacterium. RNAcentral's name for it is "partial 16S ribosomal RNA". It matches the Rfam family "Bacterial small subunit ribosomal RNA", at positions 28 to 507 of the family's 1533-position model. The record is from RNAcentral.